RNAcentral lists this ribosomal RNA (497 nucleotides) under uncultured bacterium. RNAcentral's name for it is "partial 16S ribosomal RNA". It matches the Rfam family "Bacterial small subunit ribosomal RNA", at positions 28 to 507 of the family's 1533-position model. The record is from RNAcentral.
GAUGAACGCUGGCGGCGUGCCUAAUACAUGCAAGUCGAGCGAACAGACGAGGAGCUUGCUCCUUUGACGUUAGCGGCGGACGUGUGAGUAACACGUAGGUAACCUACCUAUAAGACUGGGAUAACUUCGGGAAACCGGAGCUAAUACCGGAUAAUAUUUCGAACCGCAUGGUUCUAUAGUGAAAGAUGGCUUUGCUAUCUCUUAUAGAUUGUCCUGCGCCGUAUUAGCUAGUUGGUAAGGUAACGGCUUACCAAGGCAACGAUACGUAGCCGACCUGAGAGGGGGAUCGGACACACUGGAACGGAGACACGGACAAGACACGUACGGGAGGAAGCAGUAGGGAAUAUUCCGCAAUGGGCGAAAGCAUGACGGAGAAACGACGCGUGAGGGAUGAAGGUCUUCGGAUCGUAAAACUCUGUUAUUAGGGAAGAACAAACGUGUAAGUAAAUGUGAACGUAUUGACGGUAACUAAUCAGAAAGCCACGGCUAACUACGUG